GCGGAUGUGGCGGAAUUGGUAGACGCGCACGGUUCAGGUCCGUGUCUGGGCAACCAGGUGGAGGUUCGAGUCCUCUCAUCCGCA
RNAcentral lists this transfer RNA (84 nucleotides) under Solirubrobacterales bacterium. RNAcentral's name for it is "tRNA-Leu". It matches the Rfam family "tRNA". Rfam says of the family: Transfer RNA (tRNA) molecules are approximately 80 nucleotides in length. Their secondary structure includes four short double-helical elements and three loops (D, anti-codon, and T loops). Lineage: Bacteria; Bacillati; Actinomycetota; Thermoleophilia; Solirubrobacterales. The record is from RNAcentral. RNAcentral also lists the same sequence under 2 other names.